AGCUCCAAUAGCGUAUAUUAAAGUUGUUGCGGUUAAAAAGCUCGUAGUUGGAUUUCUGUUGAGGACGGCCGGUCCGCACUAUGUGCGUGUAUCUGGUUCGGCCUCGGCAUCCUCUUGAGGAACGUUUCUGCGCUUGAUUGCGUGGAGCGGUAUUCAAGACUUUUACUUUGAGGAAAUUAGAGUGUUCACGGCAGGCAAGCGCCUUGAAUAUGUUAGCAUGGAAUAAUAAUAUAGGAUCUUGGUUCUAUUUGUUGGUUUCUAGGGCUAAGGUAAUGAUUAAUAGGGAUAAUUGGGGGCAUUUGUAUUAACGCGUCAGAGGUGGAAUUCUUGGAUUUGUUAAAGACGGACUACUGCGAAAGCAUUUGCCAAGGAUGUUUUCA
This 380-nucleotide ribosomal RNA is filed under the name uncultured eukaryote. RNAcentral describes it as "SSU rRNA". It matches the Rfam family "Eukaryotic small subunit ribosomal RNA", at positions 587 to 972 of the family's 1831-position model. The record is from RNAcentral.